CUCGGUGAGGUUUCAGGUGAUCCUGCGGGGACAGAGGGAGCAGACUGAACAUCCAGGUUACAGUAAAGGCUGCCAGCUUCUCUCUGGUUUCCAGUGCAGGAAAGACCGAUUUUCUCCUUGAACUCCUGCGUGAAGCUGCGUUUCCCGCUCAGCACCUUGGAGAGGGUUCCGUUACGCGCCGGGAUGCGCUGUGCCAGACUCUGGACUUAAUCCUUACAUUCAGCUUAACAGGAGGCGAUCAGCAUCCAUUGAUCGGGGUUUAAUGCCACGCAGCGUGGAGAAGAGUGGGAGUGCUGCACCUGGUUUUACAAUUAAAGGAUAUUUCUUGCGACUGAAUGAGACUCAGAAAUGUCUUUUAAUUGUUUGACUACGUGUGGUUUAAAAUGCAGAGAGAGAAAAAGCUUUAAAGCUGCGUCCAGAUGCGUGUUUCAGCACCACGGGGUCCGGACAGCUCCUUCAUGCUGAGGUGGUUUAAAAAAGAAAUAAAAUAAAAGGUGGUUCUCGACUUUAUCAUUCAUCUAAA
This is a long non-coding RNA of Cyprinodon tularosa, 523 nucleotides long. RefSeq lists it as uncharacterized. The record is from RefSeq and is a predicted model, not a curated record. NCBI's taxonomy places the organism in Eukaryota, Metazoa, Chordata, Actinopteri, Cyprinodontiformes, Cyprinodontidae. The transcript is spliced from 3 exons.